UAAUAAGAUGUUUAUAUUUAUUUAUCCCGAAAACAAAAGAGCUAAAAUUUUAUAUAUGUUAAUGUAGAAUAAUUAUUUUUAAUAAAAUUUUUGUAAUUAUACGUUAGUCGAAUUUGUUGAUAUCUGGUUUUUAAAGAAAUUAAUUUAAUUAAGCUUAUUAAUGGUUAUUUUUGAAUUUUAAGUUGUAACUGUUUUUAAAGUAAUAUUGAAAGGGAAAAGCUUUUUAAUAUAUUUUUAUAACUAAUGUUUAUAAUUUUUAUUAUUGGAUUAAUAGUAUCCAUUAUUUAAAGUGUGUAAAAACUUGGAAAUAAUAUUUUAGAUUUGUUUUUAGUUUAAUUAUUUAUUUAAAAUUUUAAUUUAACAGUUUAAUUAAAUAUAUAAUGAUAAAAUUAGUAUAGUUUAAUUUACAUUAUUGUUAAAUUUGAAAGAUUAAUAAAAGGAACUAGGCAAAUAUUCUUCUUGCCUGUUUAAUAAAAACAUGUCCUUUUGAUAUUAUUUAAGGUCAGGCCUGCCCACUGAUUUAUUUUAAUGGCCGCGGUAUUUUGACCGUGCAAAGGUAGCAUAAUCAUUAGUUUUUUAAUUGAAAGCUUGUAUGAACGGUCUUACAAGGAAGACUCUGUCUCUUUUUGAUUUUCCUAGAAUUUUAUUUUUUAGUUAAAAAGCUAAAAUUUACUUAAGGGACGAGAAGACCCUAUAGAAUUUAAUAUAUAAUUGAUGUUUUUUAUUUAAGAAUUUUAAUUUAUUAUGUUUUUAUUUAUUUUACUGGGGUGGUAAGAAAAUUUAUUUAACUUUUCUUUUAAUUUAUCAUUAAUUAAUGAUUAAAUGAUCCAUUAUUUGUGAUUUUAAGAUCAAAUUACCUUAGGGAUAACAGCGUAAUUAAAUUGGAGAGCUCUAAUCGAUAAUUUAGAUUGCGACCUCGAUGUUGGAUUAAAAUAAACUUUAGGCGGAGAAGCUUAAAAGUUAAGUCUGUUCGACUUUUAAAAUUUU
RNAcentral lists this ribosomal RNA (987 nucleotides) under Sphaenognathus taschenbergi. RNAcentral's name for it is "partial 16S ribosomal RNA". The stretch from base 864 to 987 matches the Rfam family "Archaeal large subunit ribosomal RNA", at positions 2542 to 2666 of the family's 2987-position model. The record is from RNAcentral. Lineage: Eukaryota; Metazoa; Arthropoda; Insecta; Coleoptera; Lucanidae.